GGGGACGGGGUGGAGGGGGAAUUACCAUUAGCAGUUGAAGUGGCAGGAAAUUUUUACAUAGGAGAGUAUGGUGAUCAUAUUUGCAUUUUAGAAAAUAAUGGAUAGCAGUUUGUUAGGGGAACAAAGGACAGAGACAGGGAGACUAUUUAAAACAUUAAUAAAAAAUACCCGUGACAGAUGAUGAGGCAUCUACCUGAUGGGAAUGGAGAAGAGGAGAUGGAUUCAGAAACUACUUAGGAGAGGCAGGCAGUCCAAGGCUGAUGCCCAAAGAAGCCAUCAAGACCCGUGCUACUUCCAGCUCCUUCUGUCCUCAUAAUCAUAGAUGAUUGCUCCACAUCCAGGGUGGAAUGCAAUGGUAUGAACACAAGGCUCACUACAACCUCUACCUCCUGGGCUCAAGCGAUCCUCUCACCACAGCCUCCUGAGUAGCUAGGACUACAGCACCUAACACCAGUACUCAGUUAAAUUUUUUGCUGAAUAAAUCAAUGAAUGGAGAGGUAAAGAGGAACCAGAAGUUGGGGUUACAGAAGUCACUGAUGGAAGAGUUUCAAGAUAGUAGAAGUGGUCAGCCCUGUUAAGUGACAAGCCAAGGACUGAAGAAAGACUGGCAGAUUUGGCAAUCAGAUGAAGUGACCUGACCAAAGAGCAGCUUGUGUGAAGUAGUGAGGACAGGCGCUGGUCUGC
Molecule: long non-coding RNA, 684 nt
Filed under: Pan troglodytes (chimpanzee)
Lineage: Eukaryota; Metazoa; Chordata; Mammalia; Primates; Hominidae
Description: lincRNA
Source: RNAcentral